RNAcentral lists this long non-coding RNA (570 nucleotides) under Homo sapiens (human). RNAcentral's name for it is "HSALNT0348386". Lineage: Eukaryota; Metazoa; Chordata; Mammalia; Primates; Hominidae. The record is from RNAcentral.
UCUUCUACCUUCUACCCUUGCUGCCUUGGAACCUGGGACCACCAUGCUGUGAAGACUCCAGGGACAUGAGGCCAUGUGGAGAGAGUCCCAACCAUUACAACCAUCCCAGCCAUUUAGCCUGAUCCCCCACACUGAGUCUGUUAUUGGUGUUCUUGUAAUCUCCCAGGAUAGAAAUCAAGAGAGAUCACCAGCCACAGCAGCAAAGAAAAAGAGAAAGCUUCAUUUAGCUGGUGCACAGGGAAAGGCAGCACCAUGGAAGUAGUUAACAGUUCUGCAGAACAUUUUAGAAAUGGUAACAUAAGUAUAAACAACAAAACAGUGAGAUUCUGAUACCAACUUCCAGUUCCUCCUCACCAAGACUUCGUGAAAACUCUUCAGCUCAUCUGGCAAAACAAACAGGCAAAGACGCAGAUACCAGGACACUUCCUUUUGAACACUUGGCUGCAGAAGCUAAGAGACAUGGGAUACGCGAAUUGAUUCUUACAUAAUAUGAGAGAUAUAGGUGAGUCAAAAGACUGCAGAACUUCCAAUUUUAUCUCCUCAGCCAGUUAUUAACCACUCAUUUUUUGA